RNAcentral lists this ribosomal RNA (321 nucleotides) under Elizabethkingia meningoseptica. RNAcentral's name for it is "bacterial SSU rRNA". It matches the Rfam family "Bacterial small subunit ribosomal RNA", at positions 1 to 324 of the family's 1533-position model. The record is from RNAcentral. Lineage: Bacteria; Pseudomonadati; Bacteroidota; Flavobacteriia; Flavobacteriales; Weeksellaceae.
ACAAUGGAGAGUUUGAUCCUGGCUCAGGAUGAACGCUAGCGGGAGGCCUAACACAUGCAAGCCGAGCGGUAGAGAUUCUUCGGAAUCUUGAGAGCGGCGUACGGGUGCGGAACACGUGUGCAACCUGCCUUUAUCAGGGGGAUAGCCUUUCGAAAGGAAGAUUAAUACCCCAUAAUAUAUUAACUGGCAUCAGUUGAUAUUGAAAACUACGGUGGAUAGAGAUGGGCACGCGCAAGAUUAGCUAGUUGGUGAGGUAACGGCUCACCAAGGCGACGAUCUUUAGGGGGCCUGAGAGGGUGAUCCCCCACACUGGUACUGAGA